Molecule: ribosomal RNA, 921 nt
Filed under: Ganoderma adspersum
Lineage: Eukaryota; Fungi; Basidiomycota; Agaricomycetes; Polyporales; Polyporaceae
Description: partial large subunit ribosomal RNA
Rfam family: Eukaryotic large subunit ribosomal RNA
Source: RNAcentral
CAUAUCAAUAAGCGGAGGAAAAGAAACUAACAAGGAUUCCCCUAGUAACUGCGAGUGAAGCGGGAAAAGCUCAAAUUUAAAAUCUGGCGGUCUCUGGCCGUCCGAGUUGUAGUCUGGAGAAGUGCUUUCCGCGCUGGACCGUGUAUAAGUCUCUUGGAACAGAGCGUCAUAGAGGGUGAGAAUCCCGUCUUUGACACGGACUACCAGUGCUUUGUGAUGCGCUCUCAAAGAGUCGAGUUGUUUGGGAAUGCAGCUCAAAAUGGGUGGUGAAUUCCAUCUAAAGCUAAAUAUUGGCGAGAGACCGAUAGCGAACAAGUACCGUGAGGGAAAGAUGAAAAGCACUUUGGAAAGAGAGUUAAACAGUACGUGAAAUUGCUGAAAGGGAAACGCUUGAAGUCAGUCGCGUUGUCCGGAACUCAGCCUUGCUUUUGCUUGGUGCACUUUCCGGAUGACGGGUCAGCAUCGAUUUUGACCGUCGGAAAAGGGCUGGAGUAAUGUGGCACCUCCGGGUGUGUUAUAGACUCUGGUCGCAUACGGCGGUUGGGAUCGAGGAACGCAGCGCGCCGCAAGGCAGGGGUUCGCCCACUUUCGCGCUUAGGAUGCUGGCAUAAUGGCUUUAAACGACCCGUCUUGAAACACGGACCAAGGAGUCUAACAUACCUGCAAGUGUUUGGGUGGUAAACCCGAGCGCGUAAUGAAAGUGAAAGUUGAGAUCCCUGUCGUGGGGAGCAUCGACGCCCGGACCAGACGUUCUCUGACGGAUCCGCGGUAGAGCAUGUAUGUUGGGACCCGAAAGAUGGUGAACUAUGCCUGAAUAGGGUGAAGCCAGAGGAAACUCUGGUGGAGGCUCGUAGCGAUUCUGACGUGCAAAUCGAUCGUCAAAUUUGGGUAUAGGGGCGAAAGACUAAUCGAACCAUCUAG